This 449-nucleotide ribosomal RNA is filed under the name uncultured bacterium. RNAcentral's name for it is "bacterial SSU rRNA". It matches the Rfam family "Bacterial small subunit ribosomal RNA", at positions 355 to 796 of the family's 1533-position model. The record is from RNAcentral.
UGGGGAAUAUUGCACAAUGGGCGCAAGCCUGAUGCAGCCAUGCCGCGUGUGUGAAGAAGGCCUUCGGGUUGUAAAGCACUUUCAGCGAGGAGGAAGGCGUUAAGGUUAAUAACCUUAGCGAUUGACGUUACUCGCAGAAGAAGCACCGGCUAACUCCGUGCCAGCAGCCGCGGUAAUACGGAGGGUGCAAGCGUUAAUCGGAAUUACUGGGCGUAAAGCGCACGCAGGCGGUUUGUUAAGUCAGAUGUGAAAUCCCCGAGCUUAACUUGGGAACUGCAUUUGAAACUGGCAAGCUAGAGUCUUGUAGAGGGGGGUAGAAUUCCAGGUGUAGCGGUGAAAUGCGUAGAGAUCUGGAGGAAUACCGGUGGCGAAGGCGGCCCCCUGGACAAAGACUGACGCUCAGGUGCGAAAGCGUGGGGAGCAAACAGGAUUAGAUACCCCUGUAGUCC